Molecule: long non-coding RNA, 2831 nt
Organism: Homo sapiens (human)
Lineage: Eukaryota; Metazoa; Chordata; Mammalia; Primates; Hominidae
Gene: PART1
Product: prostate androgen-regulated transcript 1
Source: Ensembl
AGAACUCAAUUACGACUACAUAUGCAUUAAGGCAGGAACUGGCAGGCCUCAGGGUACGCCAACUAUAGGACUCGUGCUUCUCGUACGCUGGGCUAUAAUCUAUGAAACUGAGCUCCAGAGCCAGCCAAUCACUUAGCUCCUCAUAACAAGUCUAACUGGCUCUGGAAAGCUGAAAGGGCUGCACUGGAACAACACAGAUGAGAUAUUCUACACAUUAAUCUACUUAUCUGGAAUCACUUUGCCUCUAAAGGCCAGAGAAAAAUCACAGCUUCCUUGUCGGAGGGGAAAAGGACAGGUGAUCUGGGGAAAACGCAGCUACACCUGGAGCAAGGUCUCUUCCCGGCUUGGCAAUCUCAGCUGUGCCGGCGCUACGGGACCCGAGCCGUCCCAGAAACCAAAGGGCAGGCACGGCAGCAAACGCCUGAGUGCUGCUGCCUUCGGUGACUAUAUGAGAAUGGAAACUUCUAAGGAAGCCAGGUUGUUAGAAUUGUUACCCCCUUUACUCAGAGAUAACAUAGAUUAUCCAGGCUGAGAUGGAAAACAAGCCCUUUAUUGAAUUUUCAACACAGACUCCCUGCUUCUCAUCUCCUUAAUAAAAUUUCAUUAAAAUCCCCUUGAACUCCCAUGUUCAAAUCUCCAUUUGUUGACAGACAAAGCCAACAAUACUCUAAACUGAGGCCUGCAAGUCAUUUCAUUUGUAUUUUUGUCCAGAAAUUUCCCAUAGGAAGACUUCACCUCCUACAACUCCGAAGAAAACCCUUACUGUCCAAGACCGUCACCAGCAACCAUCCGCAGUCAUUCAAGUGGAAGCUUUCACAGCUUUUGUACAUUCUCUGUGUCAAUAUACAACUGAGUUACAGACUGUCCCCUGGCUCCCUGACCCUUACAAACACUAAAAGUUUUGUUUGACUCAACUUCAAGCUGCUCAUCUGUUAGUAAGUGAUGUUCACUCCAGAACACAUUCAUGAUGAGAACUUUCUAAAAGACCAGCACUGCUCUUCCCCUCCUAUAAUCAUAAUAAUCAUGAUAACCUGAAACAUGUUACUGGGACUCGACAUUUUUCUGGGGAUUGAAAUCUUUAGUCCUUGGAGCUGUCACAUAGCAGGGGCAACCUCACACUGAAACAAAGGAAGUGAUGUCCCAUUAUUAUCCACCCUGAGCCACCAUAAUAUGCUGUUUACAUUUAUUUUCUUCAGCCUGUGCAAAACAAAGCAAUGGAAAAGGAAACUAAAAAAUAUACAUACUAGUACCAUUAUCUUCUUUUGCCUAAAAUUACUAAUGCACCACGUCAGUCUGCUUCCUUCAGGCAUCAUUCUCAAUUCAUCAGGACUUGUAUUAGCAGGUUCUGGCUAGAGAGACUAUCUCCUGUCAUCACGAUCAAUUAAUGUUUUCUGGUGAUCACAUCAGGCCCUAUCUAAGAAGCUCAUGGUAUACAAGGGUCACCCAAAUAGCUGAGUGCAGUCCUUGCUCAUAUUUCCUUCAUCUUAACCCCGCAAACAAGAAUUAAGAUGAUCCCAAUAAAAGAAAAAUUGCUCAGGAAACUGAACCUUUUUCUGAACCAAGCACUGUCAGCAAAUCUCAGGUAUUAGAGCAACUAUGGUUGAUUGAAAAGUGUCUCAAAAUCUGGGCCAAGAAUGAUUGCUAGGUCCAUAAGCUAAUUUGUCUGGCCUUGCCAUUUACGUAAGCCAAAGAAAGUCACUCAUGAGUAAACUAUAGAAAACGUUCAGACCCAUCCUGUUAGUAUGUCAAAUCAACUAAGACUGGCAGGGUAUUAACUCCAUUCCAGGUGACAUGGAUAAAGAGCCCCAUUAUUUUCACAGUGCCAGCCUCUACCUAAGGAAACCCUAGACCUUGGAACCAGUUUCCUGGUAGGGAACUGCUGACAGUUUCAAUGCUGACAGUUGGAGCCAAUGCCUCAUAGUGUAAACUGAAAGAAAAAUAGUUGCUUUUUAAAAUGUCAGCAAGAAGGCCUGCCUCAUCUUAACAAAGCAAAAAAAAAUGCUUUAAUUCAAAUUAAAAAUCAUGAUACUAGAGAUGGGAGUCUGUGGUCACUAUAAAGAUAAAGUUCAUGUUCUUGGUUCAGAUAACAAAACACUUUAUCUGGAUAAAUGGACCUCAAAAUUUGCUCUUGGCACAUGGGGGAAAUUUUUUGUUGUAUUUUGUUGUUGUUGUUGUUCUUGUUGUUAUUGUUUAAAUUAAUCUUCCUAAGGCCAUGAAUAUGAAAUCAUAUUAAUAAUGCAUGUGACAAAAUUCUAAAAUAUAUUACACUUAAAAUUAGCAUAAACCAUCAACUUUUAGUACUCAUAUAUUGCAGUCAAAACUCUUCUAGGUAAUGAGACCUGAACAGAAGGAUCCAUUUAUCUGUGGUCUUGCUCUUUGUCUAAGUUUCUCGAAAGCAUUAGGACAAUGACAUAUACAAAAACUGGCAAUUACAUUUAAUAAGAAAAAUGUGGGGAGUGCAUUCUUAAUAUUUGAUGCUAAAACCAUAUCUUUGCUUUAAACAUGUAAAGCAGUAUAACAUGGUGGUUGGUAGAAACUCUGGAGUCAGGCCACCUGGGUUCACAUCCCAGCUCUGACUCUUAAUUGUUAGACCCUGAGCAAGCUACUUAACAGCAUUAUGCCUCAGUUUCCUCCUAUAUAAAAGGGUGCCACACACAGUAACUACCUCCUAGGCUGGUGUGAAGAUUAAAUGGGCAAAUACAUGCUUAGAACUGAGCCUAUUAUAUGGUGACUGCUCAUUAAAAGAAAAUUGUCGGGAGGGAUAGCAUUGGGAGAUAUACCUAAUGCUAGAUGACGCGUUAGUGGGUGCAGCGCACCAGCAUGGCACAUGU